Molecule: ribosomal RNA, 252 nt
Filed under: uncultured bacterium
Lineage: Bacteria
Description: partial 16S ribosomal RNA
Rfam family: Bacterial small subunit ribosomal RNA
Source: RNAcentral
UACGGAGGAUCCGAGCGUUAUCCGGAUUUAUUGGGUUUAAAGGGUGCGUAGGCGGGCUUUUAAGUCAGCGGUAAAAAUUCGGGGCUCAACCCCGUCCGGCCGUUGAAACUGGGGGUCUUGAGUGGGCGAGAAGAAGGCGGAAUGCGUGGUGUAGCGGUGAAAUGCAUAGAUAUCACGCAGAACCCCGAUUGCGAAGGCAGCCUUCCGGCGCCCUACUGACGCUGAGGCACGAAAGUGCGGGGAUCGAACAGG